Antechinus flavipes (yellow-footed antechinus) is the source of this 761-nucleotide non-coding RNA. The record is from the annotation of a RefSeq genome assembly. Lineage: Eukaryota; Metazoa; Chordata; Mammalia; Dasyuromorphia; Dasyuridae.
UAAGAGGGAGCCGGGCCCUAGCUCUGGGCCCGAGGAAGCAGAGCAUCGACACCAUGGCCUUGAGUCUUCUCUUCAUCCUGCUCGCUCUCUGCACAGGGAGCAGUGCCCAGGCUGUGGUGACUCAGGAGCCUUCUCUGACCGUGAUCCCAGGAGGGACAGUCACUCUGACCUGCAGCUCCAGCACAGGGGCGGUCACCUCUGGGAACUAUCCUUGCUGGAUCCAGCAGAAAUCUGGCCAGUCCCCCAGGGGGCUCAUUUACGGCACCAGCAGUCUUGUACCAGGUGUCCCUGCUCGGUUCUCAGGGUCCCUCCUUGGGGACAAAGCUGCCCUCACCAUCAAGGGGGCCCAGCCUGAGGAUGAGGCUCACUAUUACUGUGUCUUAUAUUAUAGUGGUCGAUGGCACAGUGAGAGAGACAGAUGUAGAACUGAGACAAAAACCUCUUCUUGCCCUGCUUGCAUGCAUCCAUAUGCUUUGACCACCUCUCUGAAAAAUCUCAAGUCAUAAGAAUCUGAGGCUAAGAUGGCCCCAUGUCUGGCCACAUCUGAUUAUUGUGGGUGUUUCCAGGUUCACAGUGUGAAGACAUGUUAUACACCAGGAGCACAUGCAGUGGGAGCCAAGUAGGAGAAGGAAGUGAUUGUAAAUCUUGUCACUCGAGAUACCAUUAAAUGGAGAGAAACUUGGGGGGGUUGAGUUGUAACUCAAGGCAAAGAGUAGGGUAACAGAAGAUUGGCCAAUGGGAGCUCCCAGGUCUCCCCUUCA